Molecule: long non-coding RNA, 1203 nt
Organism: Cyprinus carpio carpio
Lineage: Eukaryota; Metazoa; Chordata; Actinopteri; Cypriniformes; Cyprinidae
Source: Ensembl
AUAUGUAAAUGUCACAGGGUGACGAGUGACAGGCGGAACCACUUCUCGUUGAGGAUGCUUCCCGGUCGGAAUGGUUCCGGUGUGACACCUGGUCGGUUUCGGUUGCCCCGUGAGCUGUGCUCAGACGGCCGGAUCAAAUGAAGAAAUGAGUAACAGGUGUGCGAUGAGAGGGCGGCGAUCAGUGAUUGGGACAAGUAACGGGAAUGCGGCUUAUAAAAGGACUUUGUGGCAAAGGAAAGGGACGGUGUUUGUGGGAGAGACUAGCGCGAGAGAGCGGGAAGAGGGGAAGCGUGACGGAAACAGAUUUUCUACAGGCUGUGGAUAGGAGGUAAUGUCUUUUCUACAAAAAAAGACAAACAGGGACUGGAGAACGGAUGUGCAUAUGCAUACCUGGAACAAGUUAAGUACCAUGUUUACCUCCUAUAUGGUUCUUUGAAGCUUAUUGUCCCCACUUGGAUGUGAUGAUUGGAUGAUCGUUGGCUGGAAGCUAAAUACUAUGAAGGUCUAAACCCUUAAUGUCAGCAUGGUUUUGGUUGCCCAUCACUCUCACUGUCUUUGAGUUAUAACUCUCUCGAAGCUGGAUAUUCGGUUCUGGUCUUCCUGUAUCCCUGUGAUGAUUGUUUUGCUUCUAAUCCAUAUUGUGAUGUUCUAACCCCUCGACACAAGGGUGUUUGUAGCUGUUCCUCUUCCCCGCUGCUAUGUCUACAGCUGUUUAUCCAUUGUGCUGUUUCUGAGUGGAAAGGUGUGGAGGAUGAAGAUCUAGCUCCUGUAUCCAGUGCUGUUUCCUGACAAUUAUAUUUCCGGUCGCCCACAAAACCUCCUUACCGUCAAGGACGAGGAACCGGGUUGGAGCCACGAGCGAAGGCCUUAAUUCACUAGUCCCGCCGGUGUUCGUGCCUUCGACCUGAUUUGCUGCCAUACCUGCAUACUCACCAUUGCCUGGCCUGGAGUCAAUUGUUGAAGACGUGACAUCCGUACUUGCAUACUCACCAUUAUUUGGGCUGGAGCUAACUGUUGGAAAUGGGAAGUCAUCUCUCCUUCGCUGCUCUGGUCUGCUUGGAAGAAGAGCCAUACCUGCAUACCUACCUUGUCCGGCCUGGAGCUGCCCUGUUAAUGACAGCUACCCCCUGCCUGCCUAAUCUUGUCCGGCUUGGAGCCGAUCCAGUAAUACAGAGGAGGAGUACCAGGAUUCUGAGGAGAAGA